This 389-nucleotide long non-coding RNA is filed under the name Salvia miltiorrhiza (redroot sage). RNAcentral's name for it is "long non-coding RNA (SMIL_LNC013581)". Lineage: Eukaryota; Viridiplantae; Streptophyta; Magnoliopsida; Lamiales; Lamiaceae. The record is from RNAcentral.
AUGAUACUUUCGGUCUCUACUCCUUUUAUACCCGUAGUCCACCGCGGUUGGGCCAAAGGUGGAGAUUGUUGAAAUUGUUGGCCCAAUCAAGCCCAUUCCUGGUAGCCCAUUACCAUCACCUAGCCCACAACUGGCAGCCCAUCUUCCUUGGUUAAAUUGUGGAACCCUAGCUGAUACCUAUCUCUCGUUCUCUCCUCCCUUCCCUCUGCGUCUUCUGUGUGAAAGAGAGAAGCCUUGCCUGUACCUUCACCAUACCUCCUGUCAUCUCCGUGUCUUGGGCGAAGUGUGAACAAGCUUAGUGCUUGUGUGUGUCUUCUUCGUCCGAACUGAGCUAUCUCUGUGUGGAUUAGCCUGAGUGAGGUUGAGGGUGAUUUGGCAGUGGAGUUGCC